Molecule: unclassified non-coding RNA, 336 nt
Filed under: soil metagenome
Description: partial contains 5.8S ribosomal RNA, internal transcribed spacer 2, and large subunit ribosomal RNA
Rfam family: 5.8S ribosomal RNA (bases 1-120)
Source: RNAcentral
GAUGAAGAACGCAGCAAAAUGCGAUAAGUAAUGUGAAUUGCAGAAUUCAGUGAAUCAUCGAAUCUUUGAACGCACAUUGCGCCCAUUAGUAUUCUAGUGGGCAUGCCUGUUCGAGCGUCAUUUCAACCCUUAAGCCUAGCUUAGUGUUGGGAAUCUGCUGUAUUGCAGUUCCUCAAAUACAACGGCGGAUCUGUAACAUCCUCUGAGCGUAGUAAAUUUUUAUCUCGCUUUUGUUAGGUGUUGCAGCUCUCAGCCGCUAAACCCCCCAAUUUUUGUGGUUGACCUCGGAUCAGGUAGGAAUACCCGCUGAACUUAAGCAUAUCAAUAAGCGGAGGA